Molecule: ribosomal RNA, 301 nt
Filed under: uncultured bacterium
Lineage: Bacteria
Description: partial 16S ribosomal RNA
Rfam family: Bacterial small subunit ribosomal RNA
Source: RNAcentral
CAGCCGCCGCGGGAAUACGGAGGGUGCGAGCGUUAAUCGGAAUAACUGGGCGUAAAGGGCACGCAGGCGGUUAUUUAAGUGAGGUGUGAAAGCCCCGGGCUUAACCUGGGAACUGCAUUUCAGACUGGGUAACUAGAGUAUUUUAGGGAGGGGUAGAAUUCCACGUGUAGCGGUGAAAUGCGUAGAGAUGUGGAGGAAUACCGAAGGCGAAGGCAGCCCCUUGGGAAUGUACUGACGCUCAUGUGCGAAAGCGUGGGGAGCAAACAGGAUUAGAUACCCCGGUAGUCCCUGUCUCUUAUAC